UUAAAGGUAGCUUAAGGAAAGCAUUGAUUUUGUAAUUCAAAGAUUGUUUUAAU
This 53-nucleotide transfer RNA is filed under the name Physella acuta. RNAcentral describes it as "transfert RNA-T(ACA)". The record is from RNAcentral. Lineage: Eukaryota; Metazoa; Mollusca; Gastropoda; Physidae.